Molecule: long non-coding RNA, 738 nt
Organism: Cicer arietinum (chickpea)
Lineage: Eukaryota; Viridiplantae; Streptophyta; Magnoliopsida; Fabales; Fabaceae
Source: RefSeq, a predicted model, not a curated record
CUUCUCUUACCCUGUAACUCGUCGUUCUCACUCUCUCGCAAAACCCUUCCCUUCCCUCAGGGCACCAACCAGAUUACCGCUGCCGGUCAGAGCUCUCCGCCCGCCGCUUAGAGCUAUCUGGCCGCCACUUCAAAGUCUCAUUCACAGGAUAUGGCUGCAACGCGAGGCUAUCUAGGAUUGACUACCUACUUAAUGUAGAUAUGGUAUUAUGAUUGCAAUUUAAGUGGACUUAUGGUAUUAUGAUUGCAACCACUACAAAAGAUCAAAAAAAGCAACUUCUGUUUCUCAGGUACAGGGACGCAAUUGAGUUACUUAAGUGGCUGCAAAAUGUUUACACUUUUGAUUAUGGUUUCUAAUUCUGGUUUGUGUUCAAGGGAGACCUUUGAAUUUUUAAUUGGGAGCAAAAAACAGGUUUUACAAUGAAGAAGGGAUGCAAUGUGGAGUGGAAGAGUUUGCAUUAUUAUGCUGGGGAGGGAUGGCAAGGUGUUCAUUCAGAGAGUGACAUAUGGUUAACUAUUUUUGGUCUUCUUAUGUGGAUGUAAUAUAUUCUGAUGUGCCUAAUGUCUUCUAUAAUAGAUUUCAGGUACGUUUUAUUCGAUGAGUAAUUAACCUUCCAUCAUUUUUUAAGUUUCAACUUUUUGCUGCAUUUGUAUAUUUCCUGUGUGAUUUAUUAUAGUUCGUUGUGGAAUAAAAACUUAUGAGAUUCGUAGAAAAAUAAGAUGGCAGAAUAUUUUUUAA